RNAcentral lists this ribosomal RNA (497 nucleotides) under uncultured bacterium. Its description in RNAcentral is "partial 16S ribosomal RNA". It matches the Rfam family "Bacterial small subunit ribosomal RNA", at positions 28 to 507 of the family's 1533-position model. The record is from RNAcentral.
GAUGAACGCUGGCGGCGUGCCUAAUACAUGCAAGUCGAGCGAACAGACGAGGAGCUUGCUCCUCUGACGUUAGCGGCGGACGGGUGAGUAACACGUGGAUAACCUACCUAUAAGACUGGGAUAACUUCGGGAAACCGGAGCUAAUACCGGAUAAUAUAUUGAAUCGCAUGGUUCAAUAGUGAAAGACGGUUUUGCUGUCACUUAUAGAUGGAUCCGCGCCGCAUUAGCUAGUUGGUAAGGUAACGGCUUACCAAGGCAACGAUGCGUAGCCGACCUGAGAGGGUGAUCGGCCACACUGGAACUGAGACACGGUCCAGACUCCUACGGGAGGCAGCAGUAGGGAAUCUUCCGCAGUGGGCGAAAGCUUGACGGAGCAACGCCGCGUGAGUGAUGAAGGUCUUCGGAUCGUAAAACUCUGUUAUUAGGGAAGAACAAAUGUGUAAGUAACUAUGCACGUCUUGACGGUACCUAAUCAGAAAGCCACGGCUAACUACGUG